GAUGAAGAACGUAGCGAAAUGCGAUAAGUAGUGUGAAUUGCAGAAUUCAGUGAAUCAUCGAAUCUUUGAACGCACAUUGCGCCCCUUGGUAUUCCAUGGGGCAUGCCUGUUCGAGCGUCAUUUGUACCUUCAAGCUCUGCUUGGUGUUGGGUGUUUGUCUCGCCUCUGCGUGUAGACUCGCCUUAAAACAAUUGGCAGCCGGCGUAUUGAUUUCGGAGCGCAAUACAUCUCGCGCUUUGCACUCAUAACGACGACGUCCAAAAGUACAUUUUUACACUCUUGACCUCGGAUCAGGUAGGGAUACCCGCUGAACUUAAGCAUAUCAAUAAGCGGAGGA
Molecule: unclassified non-coding RNA, 337 nt
Filed under: soil metagenome
Description: partial contains 5.8S ribosomal RNA, internal transcribed spacer 2, and large subunit ribosomal RNA
Rfam family: 5.8S ribosomal RNA (bases 1-120)
Source: RNAcentral